GUGCUCGCUUUGGUAGCACAUAUACUAAAAUUGGAACAAUACAGAGAAAAUUAACACGGCCCCUGCACAAGGAUGAUAUACAAAAACACUCCUACUUCACUUGA
This is a small nuclear RNA of Fukomys damarensis (Damara mole-rat), 104 nucleotides long. The record is from Ensembl. NCBI's taxonomy places the organism in Eukaryota, Metazoa, Chordata, Mammalia, Rodentia, Bathyergidae.